GAUGAACGCUGGCGGCGUGCCUAAUACAUGCAAGUCGAGCGAACGGACGAGAAGCUUGCUUCUCUGAUGUUAGCGGCGGACGGGUGAGUAACACGUGGAUAACCUACCUAUAAGACUGGGAUAACUUCGGGAAACCGUAGCUAAUACCGGAUAAUAUUUUGAACCGCAUGGUUCAAAAGUGAAAGACGGUCUUGCUGUCACUUAUAGAUGGAUCCGCGCUGCAUUAGCUAGUUGGUAAGGUAACGGCUUACCAAGGCAACGAUGCAUAGCCGACCUGAGAGGGUGAUAGGCCACACUGGAACUGGGACACGGUCCAGACUCCUACGGGAGGCAGCAGUAGGGAAUCUUCCGCAAUGGGCGAAAGCCUGACGGAGCAACGCCGCGUGAGUGAUGAAGGUCUUCGGAUCGUAAAACUCUGUUAUUAGGGAAGAACAUAUGUGUAAGUAACUGUGCACAUCUUGACGGUACCUAAUCAGAAAGCCACGGCUAACUACGUG
RNAcentral lists this ribosomal RNA (497 nucleotides) under uncultured bacterium. Its description in RNAcentral is "partial 16S ribosomal RNA". It matches the Rfam family "Bacterial small subunit ribosomal RNA", at positions 28 to 507 of the family's 1533-position model. The record is from RNAcentral.